Molecule: long non-coding RNA, 938 nt
Filed under: Salmo salar (Atlantic salmon)
Lineage: Eukaryota; Metazoa; Chordata; Actinopteri; Salmoniformes; Salmonidae
Description: lncRNA (ENSSSAG00000083998.1)
Source: RNAcentral
GCGACCUGUCAGGUAGGACGCAAUCCAAGCGUGGGCCGCGCCGGAGAUGCCCAACUCGGAUAGGGUGGAGAGGAGGAUCUGAUGGUUCACAGUAUCAAAGGCAGCAGAUAGGUCUAGAAGUAUGAGAGCAGAGGAGAGAGGUGAUAGAGAACAUGAUAGGUUAGGAGAAUUAACAUGGCAGGUUAGGAGAAUUAACAUGGCAGGUUAGGAGAAUUAACAUGACAGGUUAGGAGAAUUAAUAUGACAGGUUAGGAGAAUUAACAUGGCAGGUUAGGAGAAUUAACAUGGCAGGUUAGGAGAAUUAACGUGUCAGGUUAGGAGAAUUAACAUGGCAGGUUAGGAGAAUUAACAUGAUAGGUUAGGAGAACUAACACAGCAGGUUAGGAGAAUUAACAUGGCAGGUUAGGAGAAUUAACAUGAUAGGUUAGGAGAACUAACACAGCAGGUUAGGUGAAUUAACGUAGCAGGUUAGGAGAAUGAGGUUAAGAUUAGGAAAAGGGUUAUUGUUAGCUACAACGCUUCAGAUGGCAACAACUGUUGUCCCCGACGCGACCACAAGAUGGAGCUGUAGGCCACAACGAGAAGAGGUAGUACUCUGUGUUGGAUGUCUGUCUACACCUCCAUUGACUCUGGUGGUGAGUAUCUAACUGUGUGUUUGUUACAACUGUGGAAAAUGUUCUGUGUUUGGUGUAACUCAGACAGGAAACGCCACGUAUUCGUUUAACCGUUUAUUAGAAAGAUUGCAAUACGUUAGUGUUGGUGUUAGGUUCUGCUCCUUCAGGGUAGCUCACUGCCAGAGCCUGCAUCAUGUUAAAUAAUGAUAAUUACAGGCAGUGAGCAAGGUACCCUGCACCAAAUAUUCCUGUCAGGGCCCAUUUAAGUUGAGAUCCAUUUUAGAUGGUGUCAGGAUCAUUUGAUUUUCAUUCAUUUCUUCUUCU